Molecule: ribosomal RNA, 254 nt
Filed under: uncultured bacterium
Lineage: Bacteria
Description: partial 16S ribosomal RNA
Rfam family: Bacterial small subunit ribosomal RNA
Source: RNAcentral
UACGGAGGGAGCUAGCGUUGUUCGGAAUUACUGGGCGUAAAGCGCACGUAGGCGGCUUUGUAAGUUAGAGGUGAAAGCCCGGGGCUCAACCCCGGAAUUGCCUUUAAGACUGCAUCGCUUGAAUCCGGGAGAGGUGAGUGGAAUUCCGAGUGUAGAGGUGAAAUGCGCAGAUAUCAGGAGGAACACCGAUUGCGAAGGCAGCUCGCUGGAACGUUACUGACGCUGAGACGCGAAAGCGUUGGAGAGCAAACAGG